UGGUUCUCGCAUCGAUGAAGAACGUAGCGAAGUGCGAUAUGUAAUGUGAAUUGCAGAAUUCCGUGAAUCAUCGAAUUUUUGAACGCAAAUUGCACUCUCUUCGGAGAGUAUGCCUGUUUGAGGGUCAGCCUAAAAAAAAUCGACAUAGUUGCUGUUUCGCGGUGACAAUCGUCGGAAAUUGGGUCAUCUUAAACCUUCUGGGUUUAAGCGGCUUAAAAUUUUAUUUACGAUUUCACGAACGUUUUUAAGAUUUUAUUUUCUUAUACGUUUAUGUAUCGAUCUUUUAUUAUUAGACGUGGCCAUUGCAUCGGAUCACGUCCAUAGAUAUUUCGUUAACUGACCUCAUACAGGUAAGAACACCCGCUGA
RNAcentral lists this unclassified non-coding RNA (367 nucleotides) under uncultured fungus. RNAcentral describes it as "partial contains 5.8S ribosomal RNA and internal transcribed spacer 2". The stretch from base 1 to 127 matches the Rfam family "5.8S ribosomal RNA", at positions 22 to 154 of the family's 154-position model. Lineage: Eukaryota; Fungi. The record is from RNAcentral.